GAUGAACGCUGGCGGCGUGCCUAAUACAUGCAAGUCGAGCGAACAGACGAGGAGCUUGCUCCUCUGACGUUAGCGGCGGACGGGUGAGUAACACGUGGAUAACCUACCUAUAAGACUGGGAUAACUUCGGGAAACCGGAGCUAAUACCGGAUAAUAUAUUGAACCGCAUGGUUCAAUAGUGAAAUACGGUUUUGCUGUCACUUAUAGAUGGAUCCGCGCCGCAUUAGCUAGUUGGUAAGGUAACGGCUUACCAAGGCAACGAUGCGUAGCCGACUUGAGAGGCUGAUCGGCAACACUGGAACUGAGACACGGUCCAGACUCCUACGAGAGGCAGCAGUAGGGAACCUUCCGCAAUGGGCGAAAGCAUGACGGAGCAACGCCACGUGAGUGAUGAAGGUCUUCGGAUCGUAAACCUCUGUUAUUAGGGAAGAACAAAUGUGUAAGUAACUAUGCACGUCUUGACGGUACCUAAUCAGAAAGCCACGGCUAACUACGUG
RNAcentral lists this ribosomal RNA (497 nucleotides) under uncultured bacterium. RNAcentral's name for it is "partial 16S ribosomal RNA". It matches the Rfam family "Bacterial small subunit ribosomal RNA", at positions 28 to 507 of the family's 1533-position model. The record is from RNAcentral.